This 1351-nucleotide ribosomal RNA is filed under the name uncultured bacterium. Its description in RNAcentral is "partial 16S ribosomal RNA". It matches the Rfam family "Bacterial small subunit ribosomal RNA", at positions 29 to 1368 of the family's 1533-position model. The record is from RNAcentral.
ACGAACGCUGACGGUGUGCUUUAGGCAUGCAAGUCGAACGAGAAAGCCCUUCGGGGUGAGUAGAGUGGCGAACGGGUGAGUAACACGUGGGCAACCUGCCCCUCGCAGGGGGAUAACCGGAGGAAACUCCGGCUAAUACCCCGUAAGCUUUCAGGGUCGCAUGGCCCUGAAAGGAAAGGUAGCUUCGGCCAUCCGGCGAGGGAUGGGCCCGCGGUGCAUUAGCUAGUUGGUGGGGUAAAGGCCCACCAAGGCGACGAUGCGUAGCUGGUCUGAGAGGAUGAUCAGCCACACUGGGACUGAGACACGGCCCAGACUCCUACGGGAGGCAGCAGCCAGGAAUCUUGGGCAAUGGGCGAAAGCCUGACCCAGCAACACCGUGUGGGCGAUGAAGGCCUUCGGGUCGUAAAGCCCUGUUGAUAGGGACGAAGGGCGAAGGGUUAAUAGCCCCUAGCCUGACGGUACCUUUCGAGGAAGUCCCGGCUAACUACGUGCCAGCAGCCGCGGUAACACGUAGGGGACGAGCGUUGUCCGGAUUCAUUGGGCGUAAAGCGCGCGUAGGCGGCUCGGAAAGUCGGUCGUGAAAUGCCGGGGCUCAACCCCGGGACUGCGUCCGAUACUCUCGAGCUGGAGGCAGGUAGGGGAGAUCGGAAUUCCUGGUGUAGCGGUGAAAUGCGCAGAUAUCAGGAGGAACACCGGUGGCGAAGGCGGAUCUCUGGGCCUUGCCUGACGCUGAGGCGCGAAAGCUAGGGGAGCAAACAGGAUUAGAUACCCUGGUAGUCCUAGCCGUAAACGUUGGGUGCUAGGUGUGGGCGGAUAUCGACCCCGUCCGUGCCGAAGCUAACGCAUUAAGCACCCCGCCUGGGGAGUACGGCCGCAAGGCUAAAACUCAAAGGAAUUGACGGGGGCCCGCACAAGCGGCGGAGCAUGCGGCUUAAUUCGAUGCGACGCGAAGAACCUUACCUGGGCUUGACAUGCAGGGCAAAGCCGGUGAAAGCCGGCGCUCUACGGAGCCUGCACAGGUGGUGCAUGGCUGUCGUCAGCUCGUGCCGUGAGGUGUUGCCUUAAGUGGCGCAACGAGCGCAACCCUUGUCCCUAGUUGCCAGCGGGUCAUGCCGGGAACUCUAGGGAGACUGCCGGUGCCAAACCGGAGGAAGGUGGGGAUGACGUCAAGUCAUCAUGCCCCUUAUGUCCAGGGCUGCACGCAUGCUACAAUGCGCGGUACAAAGGGCUGCAAACCCGUAAGGGGGAGCGAAUCCCAAAAAGCCGCGCUCAGUUCGGAUCGGGGUCUGCAACCCGACCCCGUGAAGUCGGAGUCGCUAGUAAUCGCAGAUCAGCAAUGCUGCGGUGAAUA